GACGAACGCUGGCGGCGUGCUUAACACAUGCAAGUCGAACGGAAAGGCGCUGCUUUUGUGGGGUGCUCGAGUGGCGAAGGGGUGAGAAACCCGAAAGUACCCUGCCCUUGACUAUGGGAUAACUUCAGGAACCUAGGGCUAUUACCGGAAAUAUGCUCCUGAUGCAUGGUAGGGGUAUGAAAGUUACGGCGGUUGGGGGUGGGCUUGCGGCUUCUCAGCUUGGUUGUGGGGUAGUGGCUUAACAAGGCUUUGAAGGGUUGCCGGCCUGAGAGGGUGACCGGCCACAUUGGGACUGAGAUACGGCCCAGACUCCUUCGGGAGGCAGCAGUGGGGAAUAUUGCACAAUGGGAGGAAGCCUGAUGCAGCAACGCCGCGUGCGGGAUAACGGCCUUCGGGUUGUAAACCGCUUUCGCCUGUGACGAAGCGUGAGUGACGGUAAUGGGUAAAGAAGCACCGGCUAACUACGUG
This 468-nucleotide ribosomal RNA is filed under the name uncultured bacterium. RNAcentral describes it as "partial 16S ribosomal RNA". It matches the Rfam family "Bacterial small subunit ribosomal RNA", at positions 28 to 507 of the family's 1533-position model. The record is from RNAcentral.